This 492-nucleotide ribosomal RNA is filed under the name uncultured bacterium. Its description in RNAcentral is "partial 16S ribosomal RNA". It matches the Rfam family "Bacterial small subunit ribosomal RNA", at positions 29 to 507 of the family's 1533-position model. The record is from RNAcentral.
AGUGAACGCUGGCGGUAGGCCUAAUACAUGCAAGUCGAACGGAAGCACAGUAAGAUUUUGCUCUUACGGGUGGCGAGUGGCGGACGGGUGAGGAAUACAUCGGCAUCCACUUUUUCUGGGGUGAUUACGUAGGGCAGCUUACGCUAAUACCUCAUAUGUUCUACGGCUGAAAUCAGUAGUUCUUCGGACUUUUCGCGACUCAAUUAGCCGAAGUCGGAUUAGCUAGUUGGCGUGGUAAAGGCCCACCAAGGCGACGAUGCGUAGCUGGCCUGAGAGGAUGAUCGGCCACACUGGAACUGAGACACGGUCCAGACUCCUACGGGAGGCAGCAGUGGGGAAUAUUGGACAAUGGGCGAAAGCCUGAUGCAGCCAUACCGCGUGAGUGAAGAAGGCCUUCGGGUUGUAAAGCCCUUUUAUUGGGGAAGAAAAGCAGCGUAUGAAUCCACGGCUGUUUUGACGGUACCCAAAGAGAAAGCAACGGCUAACUUCGUG